AAACCAUGAUGUGGACACUCUAAGAGAACUUCUUUGAAACGUUCCAUACAUCGAGAGAAUGAUUCAUUGGGUCGUUGGUGAAAAUAGAGAAUGUCGUUCCUAAGUUU
RNAcentral lists this small nucleolar RNA (107 nucleotides) under Cephalotus follicularis. RNAcentral's name for it is "Plant small nucleolar RNA R71". It matches the Rfam family "Plant small nucleolar RNA R71". Rfam says of the family: R71 is a member of the C/D box family of snoRNAs containing the C (UGAUGA) and D (CUGA) box motifs. Multiple nearly identical copies of this snoRNA have been identified in Arabidopsis, and it is thought to function as a 2'-O-ribose methylation guide for 18S ribosomal RNA. The record is from Rfam by way of RNAcentral. Lineage: Eukaryota; Viridiplantae; Streptophyta; Magnoliopsida; Oxalidales; Cephalotaceae.